GAGAAAGACAUACAAUAAGAGCUGCUAACUCUUAUAACUGAAAUUAAAACCUCAGCUCUCUCA
Molecule: transfer RNA, 63 nt
Filed under: Myuchelys bellii (Western sawshelled turtle)
Lineage: Eukaryota; Metazoa; Chordata; Testudines; Chelidae
Also listed under: 1 other name
Description: tRNA-Ser
Source: RNAcentral